Molecule: long non-coding RNA, 2129 nt
Organism: Eriocheir sinensis (Chinese mitten crab)
Lineage: Eukaryota; Metazoa; Arthropoda; Malacostraca; Decapoda; Varunidae
Exons: 3
Source: RefSeq, a predicted model, not a curated record
AGUGCCGCAUUGAGCCGUGCUGCUUGUCGCUGGAUGUCAGGGUCUGGGUGGGUCUGUGCCAGGGACUCGGAGCGUGCCACCAGCCUGUCCCGCACACCAAUGCCGAACAUCCUGGCGUACCUGAGGGGAGGGACGGCGGGAUGUGAUCGGAAGUGUCGCUGUCCUCCGCAGAAGUCCCUGGCCAUUGUAAAAUCAGAUGGCACCAAAAGUAAUUACAUUGUACAGUUAAGAUAAGGCUUGUUCUAUGGAUGUCUCACAGAUCUUAGGGCCAGUUUCACAGUUCCCCAUGAUGGGUUAGUAAGCUCCCAAACCAAUACCAGAGCCUUCGAAAUUUCCUUGUAUAGUGUCUGGUGUUUAUAUUUCAGUUCACAAAUUUGAUGAAACUAUACAGGAAAAGUCUUGUGUAUUUAGUGUGGGAUUGAAGACCUCACCAUUUUGGAUUGUAUGGGAUUCUAUAGUUUGGUUCGGGCUGUUACGAAGACACUGUGUUGGACUGUGAAAUCGGCUCUUAGUCAGGCUUUUGUAAAUACAGAAUGUUCACUCUCAUUACUGUAACUUAUUAUUUAUUUAUUUAUUAUUUUUCAUUCCUUUCUAGCGAUUAAUCAGAUUCCUUUUAUGUUACUCAAGUCCAUGUUUGUUUAGUGAUGUGAGGUGCUGUACAAAACACUAGUUAACAUACUGCAUCAGAUUGUUGUAUCAUUAUAAACUGUUGUAUGGAUGUAUCAGAGAUCAUAGUCAGACUUUUGUAAAUACAGUUAACAUUAAUACUGCAUCAGAUUGUUGUAUCAUUAUAAACUGUUCUAUGGAUGUAUUAGACCAGAGUCAGACUUUUGUAAAUACAGUUAACAUUAAUACUGCAUCAGAUUGUUGUAUCAUUAUAAACUGUUGUAUGGAUGUAUCAGAGAUCAUAGACUUUUGUAAAUACAGUUAACAUUAAUACUGCAUCAGAUUGUUGUAUCAUUAUAAACUGUUCUAUGGAUGUAUCAGAGAUCAUAGUCAGACUUUUGUAAAUACAGUUAACAUUAAUACUGCAUCAGAUUGUUGUAUCAUUAUAAAUUGUUCUAUGGAUGUAUCAGAGAUCAUAGACUUUUGUAAAUACAGUUAACAUUAAUACUGCAUCAGAUUGUUGUAUCAUUAUAAAUUGUUCUAUGGAUGUAUCAGUGACCUUACAAUGAACUUUAAAAAAAUAUAAAAUGUUCACUAUUAAUGCAUUUUCUUCUUACUCCUUUGAGGCGAUCGAUCAAACUCUUUUUAAACAGCGGAGAAGGUGAUAUUUAUGUUACUUGAGUUAAGGUUUGUUUUGUGACUUGUGGUGCCGUACAAAACACUACACAUGGCCGGAUAUGAAGCUAAAGUGAAGCGAUGGACACUAACUAUGAGGCUCAGAGCUAUAUAUGAAGAUACUAACUUAUACACACUAAAGGCUAACAGGGUAAAGGCUACACUAUAUAUGCUGGAAAUAACGCUGCAUACUAACUAGAUUCAUAUAUGUACAGUAAAGUUACUAGUAGAAGCAUAACCGGUCCUUUGUAUAUAUAUUCAAGAGGUAAAGUAAUGCAGAAAAUAUAGAUAAAUUGAAUUAUACGAAGAAAGUGACUUUUUUAAGGGAAACUAAUCUGGAAAUGGUAAAUAACAUGACAUAAUAACUAGAUAUAGGAAGUAUAACCAAUCCUUAAGAUAUAUUCAAAAGGUAAACUAAUGCAGGAAAUAUAGAUAAAUUGAAUUAUACGAAGAAAGUGACUUUUUUAAGGGAAACUAAGCUGGAAAUGGUAAAUAAUAUGACAUAACUAGAUAUAGGAAGCAUUACGAAUCCUUUAUAUAUAUUCAAGAGGUAAACUAAUGCAGAAAAUAUAGAUAAAUUGAAUUAUAUGAAGAAAGAGUGACUUUUUUAAGGGAAACUAAUCUGAAAAUGGUAAAUAACAUGACAUAAUAACUAGAUAUAGGAAGCAUAACCAGUCCUUUAUAUAUAUUCAAGAGGUAAAGUAAUGCAGAAAAUAUAGAUAAAUUGAAUUAUAUGAAGAAAGAGUGACUUUUUUAAGGGAAACUAAGCUGAAAAUCGUAAAUAACAUUGCAUACUAAAUUUAUAUAUAUGGAAUAGUUUAUAAUCCAUGAAUUCCCUUUCCCUCCCU